This 464-nucleotide long non-coding RNA is filed under the name Pan paniscus (pygmy chimpanzee). RNAcentral describes it as "lncRNA (ENSPPAG00000045225.1)". Lineage: Eukaryota; Metazoa; Chordata; Mammalia; Primates; Hominidae. The record is from RNAcentral.
CUUGGUGGUUGGCUACUGAGGUACAAGCAAGAGACCUCAGAUUAGGAUGGUGGUAGCAGAUAUUGUGUAGAAAGGACAGAUGUUAGAGCCAUUUUUAGGGAACAUUGAAGAACUGGAAUAAUGGACAUGAAUGGAGAAGAUAGGCAUCCAUAUUGGACCAGCCCCUGUCCACAGUAUUGAAGAUAUCCUUAUGUCCUUAAAAUUAAUCUAUUUUGUGGGAAACAUUGUGAAAGUUACCCAAAGAGAAGAAAAUGUGUUUAUGAUGAAGUUGCUGUCAUCCAGAAACUUAUAAUCAAGUUGGUAAGAUAUGACAUAAUUUGCUAUUUAAAGCACACGUGCACACACACACACACACACACAAAUUCAAGGCUGGAUAUGUACUUAAGUAUAUCAAAUUUUUAAGUUGCUAUUUUGAUUUUUUUCAAAUAUACAGAUGUGUCUGAAUGCAGGGAUUAUAGCUGAGC